Molecule: long non-coding RNA, 225 nt
Filed under: Elaeis guineensis (African oil palm)
Lineage: Eukaryota; Viridiplantae; Streptophyta; Magnoliopsida; Arecales; Arecaceae
Description: long non-coding RNA (EGUI_LNC049403)
Source: RNAcentral
UAUGUGGGUGCAGUUUAAACAUGCUUGGGACAUAGACGUGAUGGGCUUGAGGGUUUUAAAAGAAAAGAGAGAAAGAGAGGGGUGGCUAGGGUUUGUAAAGAAGGAAAGGUUUGAGGCACCAAAGCCUAAAGAGGAAAGAUAGGAGGUGUGAGAGAAACUAAGAUUUGGGGUAUCUAGGGUUUGAGGAUAUCUUGAAGGCUAUAAAAAGGGAUGUGGGGCGGCCCA